RNAcentral lists this ribosomal RNA (349 nucleotides) under uncultured Planctomycetota bacterium. Its description in RNAcentral is "bacterial SSU rRNA". It matches the Rfam family "Bacterial small subunit ribosomal RNA", at positions 46 to 382 of the family's 1533-position model. Lineage: Bacteria; Pseudomonadati; Planctomycetota. The record is from RNAcentral.
GGAUUAGGCAUGCAAGUCGAACGAGGAUAUAUCCUUCGGGAUAUAAGCCGAGUGGCGCAAGGGUGAGUAAUGCAUAGAUUACCUGCCUCCGGGAUAAGGACAACUUUGUGAAAACGGAGCUAAUACUUAAUAAUACAAAAGAGAAUAAUUUCUUUUGUCAAAGGGAGGGUAGUAAUAUCUUUCGCCUAGAGAGGGGUUUAUGUCCUAUCAGCUUGUUGGUGGGGUAAUAGCCUACCAAGGCAAAGACGGGUAGCCGGUUUAAGAGGAUGGUCGGCCACACUGGGACUGAGACACUGCCCAGACUUCUACGGAAGGCUGCAGUCGAGAAUCUUUCGCAAUGCCCGAAAGG